CGGUAAUUCCAGCUCCAAUAGCGUAUACUAAAGUUGUUGCAGUUAAAAAGCUCGUAGUUGGAUUUCUGUGGGGGCGGAGCGGCCGGCCGCAACUCGCGGUUCGAGCUAGCGCUUCCCCUACAUCCUGCCGCGAACCGUGCUACCAUUAGUUUGGUGGCGCCGGGGAUCGGCUCGUUUACUUUGAGAAAAAUAGAGUGUUCAAAGCAGGCCACACGCCUUGAAUAAGUUAGCAUGGAAUAAUAAUAAAGGACUUCGGUUCUAUUUUGUUGGUGUUCGGGACUGAAGUAAUGAUUGAUAGGGACAGUUGGGGCGGUCAGUAUUCCAAAGCGAGAGGUGAAAUUCUUAGACCUUCGGAAGACUAACAGCUGCGAAAGCGUUCCGCAAGGAUGUUCCCUUUGAUCAAGAACGAAAGUUGGGGGAUCGAAGACGAUCAGAUACCGUCGUAGUCUCAACUAUAAACUAUACCAGCUAGGGAUCGGCCAACGUUAAAUUAUCCGACUUGGUCGGCACCUUAUGAGAAAUCAAAGCAUCUGGGUUCCGGGGGGAGUAUGGUCGCAAGGCUGAAACUUAAAGGAAUUGACGGAAGGGCACCACCAGCCGUGGAGCCUGUGGCUUAAUUUGACUCAACACGGGAAAACUUACCAGGUCCAGACAUAGUAAGGAUUGACAGAUUGAUAGCUCUUUCUUGAUUCUGUGGGUGGUGGUGCAUGGCCGUUCUUAGUUGGUGGAGUGAUUUGUCUGGUUAAUUCCGUUAACGAACGAGACCCCAGCCUGCUAAAUAGCGCGGUUGAGCUUUGCUCGGCGCGAGCUUCUUAGAGGGACUAUGAUGCGCGAUAGCACAUGGAAGUUUGGGGCAAUAACAGGUCUGUGAUGCCCUUAGAUGUUCUGGGCCGCACACGGGCUACACUGGCGCCUGCAACGAGCAUAUCAGCUGGCCCGAGAGGGUCUUGGCUAAUCUUUUGAACCGGCGCCGUGCUUGGGAUUGACCAUUGCAAUUGUUGGUCAUGCAACGAGGAAUGCCUUGUAAACGCGAGUCAUCAACUCGCAUUGAAUACGUCCCUGCUCCUUGUACACACCGCCC
Molecule: ribosomal RNA, 1081 nt
Filed under: uncultured Rhizaria
Lineage: Eukaryota
Description: SSU rRNA
Rfam family: Eukaryotic small subunit ribosomal RNA
Source: RNAcentral